Dreissena polymorpha is the source of this 1793-nucleotide long non-coding RNA. RefSeq lists it as uncharacterized. The record is from RefSeq and is a predicted model, not a curated record. Lineage: Eukaryota; Metazoa; Mollusca; Bivalvia; Myida; Dreissenidae. The transcript is spliced from 6 exons.
AAUAUGGAUAGUAUUAUCAUUAUUAGUAUUACGUCAACAUUAACUCAACAAUUGUAUUGUUGACAUGAAGAAAAAGCUAUUUCGAGGUUGUUUUGACCAUUGAUUGCUAAUAACACCUGGCGCCGUGACCUGGAUGCAGAUUCUAAGCAGAUGGGCCAAAAUGGGGGCAGCUAGAGAGACUCGCCUGGAACUGACAAGCCUGGAGGGAGCUGGUUGACUGUUGGCGAGAUGGGACAACAGACGAAGAAUAAACGAACCUACUUGAUUUGAUAAACAUUUUUAUGUUUUUCAGUUUCAUCGGAAGACAUUUCCCACCAACCAUCCUGUCUUGAAAGAAAUAACUUUUGAACCCGAUUAUCUGAUAUUUUCCAGUUUCCCCUCACAACAAUUUGCAUCAAACCUCUUGUCUGCUCCUCAGCUGAAAUCAUCAUCUAGCAGUCACAAUAGUUGAGCGGUUGGAGAGGCAUGCAUUGCGUCCUACUACUGCUCAGACUAUAUCAUGUUUGGCAGACAAAACAUGCUGAUCAAAAAGAAUGUGUACCACAGGGGCCAGUGUUUCCAUUUGAGUGAUUGACAAGAAGAAGAGAUGAGAAAUGUUAUCAUCAUAUUUUAGUCCCUACAUUUAUAGUGUACAGCUCAAUGUAUUGAACCGGUGUUGUAGAAUAUAAUUGGAGAUACAUGCUAACAUUAUAACAUUAUAUAUAAGAUGAUAUUUCAAAAGCAAUACGAAAUAAAAAGUAUAAAAAGGUCAAAACAGUGAACCUUGUGUUUACAGUGGACAGGUUUAAAGUGGAAGUGACUAGUUAACUGUUGAUCAUAAGCUGCACUGAUGGAAAAAAUAGUGGGCAAUUACUAUCUAGAAAACUGUUUAACGUACGACAACAGUUGUGGAACUUCAUAAAUGACCGUAUGUAACAGGGCUGGGCAGUUUUCCUUAUAUAGCUAUAGUGAAAACUUUUGAACACAAGUGAAGUCACUGUUUUUUUUCCAAUCUUCAUGCAUUUUGGUCGAAUAUUUGUUCAAAUGAUGGCUCAGUCCAGUUUCGAAAUUUUUAUGUCUAUUCAAAAAACAUAUCCACUAGAGCACGAGGCAAUUGUCUUUAUAUGGCUAUAAUGAAACCUUGUAAAUUCUCUAGAAGUGACAUUUUUAGCCAUAUUUCCAUAAAUUUUGGUCAGAAUAUUUAUUCUAAUGAUAGCUCAGUUGUCGAGUUUGUAACUGGUUCCGGUUUGUAGACUAACAUGGCUGCCAGUGGACAUGACAGUUUUUCUUAAAGUGCUAAAGUAGAACCUUGUUAACACAUAAUUGGCCCUUUUUAUGUGCAUUUUUCAUGAAAGAUGAUCAGAGCAUUUGGCCCAAUGUAAUCUCAGCUGACUUUGAAACUGGAUCACAUAACGUCAAAAAGUGGGUCAAAAUGUCAAAUUAAAAAAAGCUUGUAAACACUGGAAGUUGCAUUUAAAAUUGUGUUCCUUUUUUAUGUCCCCCACUAUAGUAGUGGGGGACAUAUUGUUUUUGCCCUGUCUGUUGGUUGGUCUGUUGGUUGGUUGGUUUGCGCCAACUUUAACAUUUGCAAUAACUUUUGCAAUAUUGAAGAUAGGAACUUGAUAUUUUGCAUGCAUAUGUAUCUCAUGGAGCUGCACAUUUUGAGUGGUGAAAGGUCAAGGUCAUCCUUCAAGGUCAAAGGUCAAAUAUAUGGGUCAAAAUGGCUCAUUUAAUGUACACUUUUGCAGUAUUUCAAUAUUCAAGAUAGCAACUUGAUAUUUGGCAUGCAUGUGUAUCUCAUGGAGCUGCACAAU